Molecule: ribosomal RNA, 253 nt
Filed under: uncultured bacterium
Lineage: Bacteria
Description: partial 16S ribosomal RNA
Rfam family: Bacterial small subunit ribosomal RNA
Source: RNAcentral
UACGUAGGGGGCGAGCGUUGUCCGGAUUUAUUGGGCGUAAAGAGCGUGUAGGCGGCCAGACAGGUCCGCUGUGAAAACUCGAGGCUCAACCUCGAGAUGUCGGUGGAAACCGUCUGGCUAGAGUCCGGAAGAGGCGAGUGGAAUUCCUGGUGUAGCGGUGGAAUGCGCAGAUAUCAGGAGGAACACCAAUAGCGAAGGCAGCUCGCUGGGACGUUACUGACACUGAGGCGCGAAAGCGUGGGGAGCGAACAGG